This is a non-coding RNA of Anas platyrhynchos (mallard), 7385 nucleotides long. NCBI's taxonomy places the organism in Eukaryota, Metazoa, Chordata, Aves, Anseriformes, Anatidae. The record is from RefSeq and is a predicted model, not a curated record.
UCUAAAACCCUGGCUACAGGUAGUUCAUCAGAGCCAGGAUACUUGGCCUCUAGAGACACUCCAUUCGAGAAAACUCAUUUCACCUGAAGUUCUUCUCCUAGCGGCAUGAGAUGUGUGCACAGCUUUGUGACUCAUCAGGUCAGCUCAUGGGAUCUGGGCCAACUUCAUGGAGAAUAUCAUCAACUAUCCUGAGUUGCAAGGGGUUUGAUCAUCAAGUCUAACAGCUGGCUUCCCACAGGACUACCUAAAAAUUAAACCAUAUAUCUGACAGUGUUGUCCAAAAGCUUCCUGAACUCUGGCUUGCUUGCUGACAUGACUGGAUCUUGUGGUUAACGCAGGAGGUAUCUCAACACCAUACGGCCAUUCGUUCACUCCCCCAUACGCACCCGUGUUGUUUAGCAUACUUGAGUUGCAUCCCUGUGCCCAGUGGUGUGCUCUUGUGACCCCUGGAGAGCUCACAACACUCCCAGUGCACUCUAGCAACUGCUGGAUUUUCCAGGUGGACCUCUAGACUGCUCUUAGAGGUUACUAGGUGUGUGGUGGUUGUACUUGGGUGGGUGGCCAAGCUCCACCACAACUGGUCUCUCACUCCCCCUCCUCAAAGAGAAACAGGGAGAAGCUACUCACAAGCAGGAGCACUGGGAGGGAAGCAGGUACAGAUCUUUCCCUCGUGAAAGAAACAGCCCUGAGAAUGGCAGAAGAGCAGUCAAAUACUCAAAGUACAGAUCUGGCAGCGGAGGAAGAUCAGAACAAGGUAGCAAUAGAUAUUACCGAUCCAAAGGGGAAAGAAGUUGGAGCAGAGAAAGAUACUAUCGAGAUGAACCGAAUGAUGAUCGAGAUGAUCAUUACAAAAGCGGAUGGCCUCACAGUUCAUAUACAAGAAGUAUAUGCUUUCCUCUGAGAAGGCUAAUUCAUCACGAAACAGCUCUCUGCAACUUCUAGUAUUAAACGUUGUUUAUGGGAAGACUUAUUUUUAGUGAAUCAAGAAAUACAUUCAUGUAAUUCUAGACUGUGUUUUUUGGAAGUGUUUUUCUCUGGCUAGUCCACGAAGUGCUCUGGGAUAAUUUUUCUAUCUUCAUGGUCUCUCUUUAGGAGGUAAAAUAUCCUGAGUAUUUGGACCUUCGAGCCUAUGUGUCGCAGUCAAUUGGAGAACCACUCCUGUACACCUUAUAUGCAGUGCUGGUGCAUCAUGGUAUCAACUGUCGCUCAGUUGCAGCAGCAUGUUUUAGCUGGAAGCUCCUGGCACUUUGUUUGAAUCUGUUCAACUGCAGUGCAAGUUGCAUUGUUCCUCAUUUUUUCCAGAUGAUAUGAAGAUAGUGGUGCUGAGCUAUGAGAAUAUGCAAACUUCCCGCAAACUUCCUCUCUCAAGUGUGACACUGAAUGUAGCUCUAAAAAGCUUUCCUCCUCAGCUAUUGCAGAGAGAUGCCAAGGUAGAAAGGACGAGACGAAAAACACUGAGAAAGAGCAUUACCAAAGCAAGAGGGAACAUGCUCCUACUGAAGAGAAGGAGAGUCAAAAAGCAGGUCCUUCCAGCAAAAGGAGGUGUUCUCUGAGCGUGGAAGUUGUGGAGCAAAAGCGUCACAAGCAGGAGCACUGGGAGGGAAGCAGAUGUCAUCACAAUUUGGGGUGGUGUGUCCAAGCAGGUUCGGCAAUUGCUCAUGAUGACGAAGCCUCGGGCCGUCACUGUAACAGGACUGGGGACAUUCCAUAUUAAAAAAUGGCUAUCUUUUGAAAAUGGCCAGGUGUUCACAUUUCGGAGACCUGUGUUUUCACCGUCCAAGACUCUUGGACAGAUUCGUAACCUGAAACACCGUUGUGUACGCGUUCCUGAUGAUAUGAAGAUAGUGGUGCUGAGCUAUGAGAAUAUGCGCCUGAACGUCCCGUACAGCAAGGAAAUAGUGCAGAGCUGUUUGGAGGAGACCUUGCAAUACUUCUACCGCAUCCUCACAAAUAGGGAGGACACGGACUUCACCUUAAAGGAUUUUGGCACUCUUGCUAUCCGAGGGCAAAGAGUGAAAAUGACGUUUUCUGAAGGGUUUUUACACAGUCUCAACAAGUCCACAUACGUGGUAGAGAAGCUGAUUGCUACUUCAGGAUUUGUGUUUCUGUGCGCUCCACUUUGACAAUGCCAAUCGCAAGCGUAAGCAAAGGAAGAAAAAGGAGAAGAAAAAGAAGAAAAAGGAGAAACACCAGGAAAGUGAAAGGGUCCUUGGAACACUUAGAUCUUUGUUUCCAGAAGAUAACGCGGGAGAAGAAGGAAGAAUCCCAUCCUCCAGAUGGCUCUUCAUGUGAGCAAUGCAGAAGCAAGGGCAGUAAACAACCUUACAAGGAAAGAAAGCCUUCCAGUGCACGCGGAAGCAAGAAAUACAGCUCCAUCGCAUCCAACGACUAUACUAAAGUGUCGCGGACCCUCCGAAAUCUACUGGGAAGGAUGAAUACCUCGCACAGUACCAAUGUGAUGACGGUGGAGACAAGGAGAAACCAAGAAGAUGAAAAGAACAUGACCUCAUUUCAAAAGAAAGCGUUUUGUCCGGCAAAGAGUCUUCUGAGCCUGCUAUUGCAGAGAGAUGCCAAGGUAGAAAGGACAAGACUAAAAACACUGAGAAAGAGCAUUACCAAAGCAAGAGGGAACAUGCUCCUAGUGAAGAGAAGGAGAGUCAAAAAGCAGGUCCUUCCAGCAAAAGGAGGUGUUCUCUGAGCGUGGAAGUUGUGGAGCAAAAGCGUCACAAGCAGGAGCACUGGGAGGGAAGCAGAUGUCAUCACAAUUUGGGGUGGUGUGUCCAAGCAGGUUCGGCAAUUGCUCAUGAUGACGAAGCCUCGGGCCGUCACUGUAACAGGACUGGGGACAUUCCAUAUUAAAAAAUGGCUAUCUUUUGAAAAUGGCCAGGUGUUCACAUUUCGGAGACCUGUGUUUUCACCGUCCAAGACUCUUGGACAGAUUCGUAACCUGAAACACCGUUGUGUACGCGUUCCUGAUGAUAUGAAGAUAGUGGUGCUGAGCUAUGAGAAUAUGCGCCUGAACGUCCCGUACAGCAAGGAAAUAGUGCAGAGCUGUUUGGAGGAGACCUUGCAAUACUUCUACCGCAUCCUCACAAAUAGGGAGGACACGGACUUCACCUUAAAGGAUUUUGGCACUCUUGCUAUCCGAGGGCAAAGAGUGAAAAUGACGUUUUCUGAAGGGUUUUUACACAGUCUCAACAAGUCCACAUACGUGGUAGAGAAGCUGAUUGCUAAAAAGUUGGUCAGACUGGACAAAGAAACUGCCCUGUUCCCAAGCCAUUUUGGCCGUGCCCACCUGUUCCCUCAGUUUGAGAUUAAGGCGGUACCUCGGCUUGCUAGGGAGCGUCUUGCAGAGGAAGAGAUACUUAAUGCACAAGCGUCUCUUCUUCAUACAUUAAAACUUGCGCAAAGGAGACUUUCUCCAAGCACAUUGGCCACAGCUGAAGCGAAGGAAGAAGCAGAGGAGGAAACAAAGGCAAAAGAGUCUCCUGGCAGACUGUUCCCUGUAUGUCCAGACACAGAAGGAAGGCAGCACAAAGAAACUCCCCGCAAGAGGCUUAAAUUGCCAUUGCUUGCUUCUGAAGAUCAUAGACACACAGGACAGGAAGCACUCUCUGUACUGGGGGUGCAGGUUGGAGGGAAACUGGAGGCGUCUGUGGCCAGCAAGGAGAAAGAAGAGACCAGAGAAGCAAAAAGAGUCACAUUUCCAAAACUGCUGGAACAGCAAGAUGAGGGACAAAGGGAUAAGAUGUGGAUGGGCCAGCAGCGACAGGAAGAAGAAGAUAGCCUCAGCUCCCCAGAGAUCACCUGUGAUACAAAAGAUGAUCUACAAAAGCUGGAGGCUUGGAUUCAGGAGAGGAAGCAACUCCGGUCUCAGCUGAAAAGCUUUGGAGAUGUUGAAAAAUGGCUGAGUCAUAAACCUACCUUUACCAAACUGGAAGAAAGAGUCAGGAAACGAAUAACGGCAGCUAGAGUAGACCAGAGGGCUAGAAGCAAGUCAGUCGAGACCGACAGGCCAGACUGUUCACCACCACCAAGGAGCCAGACCCGGAAGAAGGGUAGCCUUCCCCUUAUUUGUGCACCAUACCCUCAAGCUCUUAUCGCACUGCAUAACCUCCUACACCAACAGAAGUUGACAAUGGUAGACAUCUUCAGAAAGGCUGGAAUGGAACAGAGAAAGAUCAUGAGAGCAGACUUCAUUAAAGUCAUCAAGGAGACAAAAGUUCCCAUCAGUGACAAGGAGCUGGAGGAUGUGGUCAUCUUCUUGACUUCUUCAAAGCGGAGGAAUUAUAUAAGCAGUGAAGAUCUGAUUGAAUGUCAAAAGCAGUGGCAGGAAAUGAGGAAAGGACAGCCCAAAGAGACCGGCGAAGAUACACAGCCUUGGGUCUGGAGAAACGCUUGCAAAGCUGCCACUUCUCCACCUUCUGCUGGGGACAAAGCUGUGGGGAUGAAGCCUUGCUCUCCCACGGAGCCCAAAGAAAAGCUAAUACUCUUGGAAGUGCCCCCAGUCAACACUGAGCCAGGCCGGCGACAUUUAGACUGGGAUGAAAUGGAAGAGAUUGGAAAGCGCUCAAGAGAGAGCAGACGGCUGGAGAAGAUCAAAGACAGCCCGAUAGAGUGGAAAGAAAAGUGUCGGCUGGUGAGAUCUGGGGAUGCACCCGUCGAUGAACACUGCCUGCCAUCAACUAUAGAGGGUGACAUGGGAGCACUGGUUGACCACUAUCGCAGAAAUGCCGUUGUGAACUAUCUGAAUUGCUCCAAGCAGUGCAAGGAGCGUAACAUCUGUCUCACCGACAAAGCGCUGCAAAGAGGCCUGCUGCACCCAGGAGACAAGAUCAUCAAAGAAGGAGAAGACGUGAGGAAGAUCAGGCAGCCUGGAGGAUACUACAGCACAGGACAUGCUGACGCCACAUCUCCUCUGAGCAUGUCCAGGUCAAAAAGUGCAUCAGGAAAACAGGCCAAGGAGGCAGAAAACAGGCGUCUUGAGAAGAAUAAGAAUCAAAAGUCAAGCGACAAUAACUUCUGGCCAGGCCAUCUCCUGGACAAGAUGCGCCUGUACUUUCCAGAUAAGGAGCCUGACAGGGCACACGCCUUGUUUAGCUAUGUUCACCCAACCAGGCCUGCCUACCGUGGUAUCUAAAACCCUGGCUACAGGUAGUUCAUCAGAGCCAGGAUACUUGGCCUCUAGAGACACUCCAUUCGAGAAAACUCAUUUCACCUGAAGUUCUUCUCCUAGCGGCAUGAGAUGUGUGCACAGCUUUGUGACUCAUCAGGUCAGCUCAUGGGAUCUGGGCCAACUUCAUGGAGAAUAUCAUCAACUAUCCUGAGUUGCAAGGGGUUUGAUCAUCAAGUCUAACAGCUGGCUUCCCACAGGACUACCUAAAAAUUAAACCAUAUAUCUGACAGUGUUGUCCAAAAGCUUCCUGAACUCUGGCUUGCUUGCUGACAUGACUGGAUCUCGUGGUUAACGCAGGAGGUAUCUCAACACCAUACGGCCAUUCGUUCACUCCCCCAUACGCACCCGUGUUGUUUAGCAUACUUGAGUUGCAUCCCUGUGCCCAGUGGUGUGCUCUUGUGACCCCUGGAGAGCUCACAACACUCCCAGUGCACUCUAGCAACUGCUGGAUUUUCCAGGUGGACCUCUAGACUGCUCUUAGAGGUUACUAGGUGUGUGGUGGUUGUACUUGGGUGGGUGGCCAAGCUCCACCACAACUGGUCUCUCACUCCCCCUCCUCAAAGAGAAACAGGGAGAAGCUACUCACAAGCAGGAGCACUGGGAGGGAAGCAGGUACAGAUCUUUCCCUGGUGAAAGAAACAGCCCUGAGAAUGGCAGAAGAGCAGUCAAAUACUCAAAGUACAGAUCUGGCAGCGGAGGAAGAUCAGAACAAGGUAGCAAUAGAUAUUACCGAUCCAAAGGGGAAAGAAGUUGGAGCAGAGAAAGAUACUAUCGAGAUGAACCGAAUGAUGAUCGAGAUGAUCAUUACAAAAGCGGAUGGCCUCACAGUUCGUAUACAAGAAGUAUAUGCUUUCCUCUGAGAAGGCUAAUUCAUCACGAAACAGCUCUCUGCAACUUCUAGUAUUAAACGUUGUUUAUGGGAAGACUUAUUUUUAGUGAAUCAAGAAAUAUAUUCAUGUAAUUCUAGACUGUGUUUUUUGGAAGUGUUUUUCUCUGGCUAGUCCACGAAGUGCUCUGGGAUAAUUUUUCUAUCUUCAUGGUCUCUCUUUAGGAGGUAAAAUAUCCUGAGUAUUUGGACCUUCGAGCCUAUGUGUCGCAGUCAAUUGGAGAACCACUCCUGUACACCUUAUAUGCGGUGCUGGUGCAUCAUGGUAUCAACUGUCGCUCAGUUGCAGCAGCAUGUUUUAGCUGGAAGCUCCUGGCACUUUGUUUGAAUCUGUUCAACUGCAGUGCAAGUUGCAUUGUUCCUCAUUUUUUCCAGAUGAUAUGAAGAUAGUGGUGCUGAGCUAUGAGAAUAUGCGCCUGAACGUCCCGUACAGCAAGGAAAUAGUGCAGAGCUGUUUGGAGGAGACCUUGCAAUACUUCUACCGCAUCCUCACAAAUAGGGAGGACACGGACUUCACCUUAAAGGAUUUUGGCACUCUUGCUAUCCGAGGGCAAAGAGUGAAAAUGACGUUUUCUGAAGGGUUUUUACACAGUCUCAACAAGUCCACAUACGUGGUAGAGAAGCUGAUUGCUACUUCAGGAUUUGUGUUUCUGUGCGCUCCACUUUGACAAUGCCAAUCGCAAGCGUAAGCAAAGGAAGAAAAAGGAGAAGAAAAAGAAGAAAAAAGAGAAACACCAGGAAAGUGAAAGGGUCCUUGGAACACUUAGAUCUUUGUUUCCAGAAGAUAACGCGGGAGAAGAAGGAAGAAUCCCAUCCUCCAGAUGGCUCUUCAUGUGAGCAAUGCAGAAGCAAGGGCAAUAAACAACCUUACAAGGAAAGAAAGCCUUACAGUGCACGCGGAAGCAAAAAAUACAGCUCCAUCGCAUCCAACGACUAUACUAAAGUGUCGCGGACCCUCCGAAAUCUACUGGGAAGGAUGAAUACCUCGCACAGUACCAAUGUGAUGACGGUGGAGACAAGGAGAAACCAAGAAGAUCAAAAGAACGUGACCUCAUUUCAAAAGAAAGCGUUUUGUACGGCAAAGAGACUUCUGAGCCUGCUAUUGCAGAGAGAUGCCAAGGUAGAAAGGACGAGACGAAAAACACUGAGAAAGAGCAUUACCAAAGCAAGAGGGAACAUGCUCCUACUGAAGAGAAGGAGAGUCAAAAAGCAGGUCCUUCCAGCAAGAGAAGGAUCACCUUGAAUACAAAAAAAUACAAAUUUGACCCCUGCCGGAGCAGAUUCCAGGCCGGACCUGUAGCCCGUGGAGAGGAGACCACGCAG